UGUUUAUCAGAUUUACAUUCUAAACGUGGAGAAAUGGAGAAGAAACAGGCAGCAUUAAAAGCCCUGACUCAGCUGGAUCUGAACAGUAGUAACCCCGAGGAUAUUAUACAGAGGGCCGUACAGAUGCGCAAGAGGAAGUUCCUCCGAGCCCUGGCCAAGCAAUAUCUGUAGGAUCCUCAGCUAGCAAUAAUAUCUGUAGCACUGCUGUAGAGCCCUCAACAAGCAAUAUAUUACAUUUUGAAGACAGCUUCCACAUGUAAUUCAGGAAACUGUCAAAAAGUCAUUGAUUGUUCACCAGUAUUGAAGGGAAAGGAAUUGUUGAGUUGGAUACAUGUAGAGAGUUAGAUUCAGAUGGACCAUGAUGUACUUCAGGGUUGACAUUAUUUUUAUUCUAAAGGUUCUUGUCUGUGUGAAAUGUAUAUGUAUUGAAAACAAUGUGCAAAAGAUCUGAGACAUACAUGUACGUACCCGUCUUUUGUUUAGAUCAGGCUGUACUUUUAUUUUGUGUUUCUGUCAGUUAUUAAUGGUCUCAAUUAUGUAAUAUAGAAAUAUAUUUUUGUAAUUUUACAUAAAAAUUUUGCCAUCUUACCUUUACAUAUGUAUCAGGUACAAAUUUUCGCUGCACACAGCUAUUGAACUGAAUUUUGAUUCUAUGGAAACAAGUACCAGAUUUUUCUAACCUGUGUACACUGUGCUCUUAUUGUCCAUAGUAUUCUUUUAAUACUUGGAUUAUCAAAAUUUAAGAUGAAUUGUGAUUUCUUGUAAUUUUAUGUAUUAUAGCUAAUCAUUGCACGUCAGUGUUCAAAUCAAAGCACACAACUCCUUGGUGUGUGGUAUUCCUCUGUAUUGCAAUAUUUUGUACUGUGGGAAAUUAAAUAUGUCUUCAUGUA
Molecule: long non-coding RNA, 890 nt
Organism: Saccostrea cuccullata (small rock oyster)
Lineage: Eukaryota; Metazoa; Mollusca; Bivalvia; Ostreida; Ostreidae
Exons: 2
Source: RefSeq, a predicted model, not a curated record